AUUGGAAGCCAGUUAGCAACCUUCCCCUGUUUCCAUUUUACCAACCUUUCCUGGCCUCUGGGGCUCACACAUGAGGUUUGCAAAACACUGCAUGCAUAGCCAGACUUCCUGGACAUAACCAGAGCAUCAGGGCUCAGAAAAGCCAGCUCAGAGAUAUGACUAUUAGUUUAUUCCUGUGGGAAAAGCUCCUUCCCUGAAAGAUACACGGAAUGUGCUUGCUGUCAAAUCCGUCAAAACUAUGCCAUGUAAAGCUAUAGGGGGAGAUAAAAACAACUUCUGAUAAAAACUGAAGAGACAAUUGCAGAGAGGCCUGUUUUGCGGAUGUGGCCUACUUGUGAUUCUUUUGUCCAUCAUCACUCAGCAAGCCAGAAGUUAGAGAACCGGCGUUCGAACUCAUGUGUACAAUAACAUUCUGUUGGUCAAAACUGCUGCUUCAGCACCUGGCGUUCCCCCUGAAUUAUUUUCCUUUCUUGGCUCAUCUUUCUUUGUAUAGUGUUCAAGGCAAUUUUCUAGUCCAUGUGAAUUUGUACAAUCUCUUCUCCUAGAUCCAUGUAAACAUUUUCACAUGUUCAUCCAAAUUCUUCCCUUCGUCCGCACCCCUACUGAGCUCUCUUUGAAGUGGAGAACUUGGCAGAUCCUUCCCAGUGAAGCAGCAUGCUUCCUCCUGGGCGUUUGAGCUGUGUGUUGGGUUUAACCUCCUCUUAACUGGCCCGCUUGCUGAUAGUAUAAUUGUAAACCAGUUCCAUUUCCCUCCAGUGAGUAUCUCUAUCCUCAAGAAGACCACCUACCUUUGUUCUGCUGCACUAUUUGUGGUUUUCUGCUCGUGUCCAUCGAAUGGAGGACGAUCCUUCCAAAAAGACCAUGGAACUAGCUGGCCAUCCACACUCCCUAUCUUCCACCUUGACAGAGACAACUACCGAGUUAGUGGGAAGACUACCAAGGUAAGCAGGUUGGCUUUGCUUAUUCUGUGCAUGAUUUCUGAUAUACCUCAAAAGAAAUACCGUAUCUUCUUGGAGAGGCCUUUGUAA
RNAcentral lists this long non-coding RNA (1028 nucleotides) under Mustela putorius furo (domestic ferret). RNAcentral describes it as "lncRNA (ENSMPUG00000031573.1)". The record is from RNAcentral. Lineage: Eukaryota; Metazoa; Chordata; Mammalia; Carnivora; Mustelidae.